GACACUUAGGACAGCUGAUAGCUUGGCGGUGCAUCACAUGGGCAGCUGUCAAACUUGGUUUUUGAAUCACAAACCCAGCUGGUUCCCAAAGGCUCAAGUUAUGUGGUCACGGGUUGGUUUGCCACACCACCCUAGACUAACUUGGAGCUCAAGUACGAAUAGACUAAUGUUUUGCUAAAAGGUAUUUGAAAUUCAAACACUCAGAAACUGAAGCAAACACAUUUGAAUGUGCACAUGGUCAGACCCAGUAGAUAGAACAGAUACAACAGGGGUAUCCGUUUAAUCGGGAUGGCAAGCACGGCUGCCAUCCUUAGUGAAUGAAUGUGAUGCACAUGCAUGAACUACCUGAUGCACAUGAGAUCUGUCAGGUUCUUCAUUCUUCACUUGAGUAGUCCUUGCUACCAGGCUACAACAUGUAGCAUGUAUCCUUGUGUUUUGAUCAUAAAGGGAUAGCCAAUAAUUCUUGUACCAACAAUAUCAUCAUAGUCCCAUAUGGUUUCUGGUAAGCUGCUGCUGCUGCAGCGUUUUAGUCUCUUCAUCAUAUUGAUUUCUAUCUCAAAGGAUCUAAUUUCGUUUUUGAUUCCAAGAGGGAGGGGGAAGGACUAAGCUUUAUAAGACCUAGACUCUCCUAAGUAAAAAAGGACAGCAAUCCCAACUCAAAUAGAACCCAAAUAGAAGACAAAAACCAACUCAAAUUGAAGGACACACAUAAGUUGAAAAGAGAAAGAAAAAAAGGACAAACUUAACUGAAAUUCAAGGAUACUUGUGGAUAAGUUAAAAAGGGAGGACAUUGAAUCAAUAGAAGACCAUAAGUUAACAUGCUGGGUUUUCUAAAUGGGAGAUACAUAAGUUGAAGAUUAAGGACGACUCAACUUAAUAAGCUUUCAAAUUCACGGACUCAAUCUAGCAGGAACCAAUUGAAGGACAAAGGUUUCUAAUUGGGAGAGAUUGCAGAUCUGAGACCCGACACCACCGUAUCCUCAAUCAAUCUUCACUCGACCCUUGUGUAAUAACAACCCAAGUCAAGCAAACAGUAAAAAUCGAAAAUCAAUCAAUUCAAUGGAAAUGAUUAUCUAUCUGACCCCAAUAAGUUUAAAUACGAGCGAAGCACUAAAUUACUUACAGAAAAGAAUGGUUUUUCUGGUUCUUGGUAUGGAUGAUGCUCUGGUUUGUCUGAGGGUUCAGUUCUCGCGGCCGCCUAGAUGCGAGAGUUGCAGGUCUAACAAGACGAAGAAGAAAAGAAUUUGUCGGGAAAACAGUUAUGAGAAAUGCUUUGUCAGAUGUGGGUUUUUCUACCAACAGCCCAAACCAAUGUAUUCAAUGUAACAAGCCCGAACCAAACAAACGAUCCGUUUCAGAUGAGAACACACGUCAGACUUGAAUUUCGUGGAUGACGAAGGCUGGUAUAGCAGAAUGAGAGCAUCUUGACUCUUUAUUUUGGUUCCUUAAUAAUUUUAGGGUGCGUUUAUUGUUACUUGAUAAAUUAUUUUAUUCACCCCACACGUUAUUGAUUUAUUGAAAUACCAAAACACUAUGUUGUAAAAUUACAGCAAGAAACAAUAAGUUAUUGCAAAUUACAAUUUUUUUAUUUUUUAUUUUUUGUUUUGGAUGAACACAAAUUUCAUAACACUAACUCAGAUUUAUCAUAUUCGGUAGUGAGUCUGAAGACACUAGCAUUUUUAUUUUAGAUAAAUUGUUUAUAUAUUUUUUUCUUUGUUGAUGAUUCGUUUAUCCAUUUACUCAUUAUUUCCUAUGUCGACUUUGUAUGUAAAUUCUCAUCUUUGUAUCAGUUCCAAAAGGUCUCAUUACUAUGAAUACUUUGGCUGCUAAGUUAAUAUAAACAUAGCACGCUGGAAACCCAAUAACGUUGAAGAGUCGAUCUAUGCUUUUUAAUGGAAAUGCUAAAGAACAUGUAUUACCCGACAUCCCAACUCUACUCCACUAGGCUGGCAAAAAUGCCACCACUCCAAUCCUGCAAAGGUAUACACACUAUAUCAGGGCAUAUGCCUCUACAAAAGCUUCUGCGGCUUCACUAGACAAAAGGCGACUACUUCAUGAACUGCGAUCGAUUUGCACUGCAUUGCGUUCGAAUUAAACUGCAACGCCUCACGCAUAUGCUGGUCAUUGAGUAAUGACUGUAAUCCAUAAGAAGCCUCCAAAUGAACCACUUAUGGCAAUGUUUCUGAAGUACUAGCUGCCCAGCUAGGUAUCCAUUGCGUCUAUCACUAUUUCCUUUAUCUUUGAUCCGUUCUUACGGCACGGUACAUGUUGAUUCAUCUCAUAUGUGAGCAAAUAACUAACUAUAUGCAAGGCACUUGCUGCAUAUAAAUAUCACUAGAAUUAUGAACAUUUGCAAGAUUUGUGUUCAUAAUUUUUCUUCCUUUCUUCUCAUUUCUAAUGUAUCAAAGUGCAAGAUCUAUAUAGAUUCAAUUUGAAACACUUAACAACAAAACACUUAUCAUAGUAGUAAGAGUAUAUCUCUUAUGUUCUUUCUCCUCGAUUAUUUCUUUCACUCUUUUCCCAAUCUACUCUUUUCAUCGGAGACAAAACAGAGCAAAUUUCAGAGAGUUCUUUCUAGAUAGUGUGCGAACUGCGAAGUCCAAUAUACUCUUCUUCUUUUUUUCAGCAGAAAAAAAAAAAAAAAAAAAAAAAAAUACUGGCCCGAGCCUAAAACUGUUUUUACUGUAGAUGAACAGUAAAUCACUGUAUAUGAACAGUGAUCAACAAAUAAAUAUAUAGUAAAUUUAUCUAACCAGGACUAGGUAGGUGAAAAAGAAAACUUGCUUUACAGUUUAUAUAAGCAAAGUAAAGAUAAUGAAAAUCCAUACUUAUUAGAAUGACAUUAAUUGUCAAAUACAGGCACAACUUUACAAACGUUUUGGAUACCAAAUUGACGGUUGUUUUUUUUUUUUUUCAACAAACUAACUGAAAAUUACAAAUAGAAACCUCUAAUACAACCAACACCUAAGGAGUCAAAAUUAAAGGCCGAGCUAGCAGGCAGAGGAAGAGAAUGGUCCCUUUUGAUGUGUUUAAACUGAAUACCAAACUGACAGUUGUUCAGGUAGCAAAAAACAAAAAAAACAGAAAAAAGAACAAAAACAAAAACCGUCACACACAAGCCAAGGUCUCCAUAUAUAGAUGAUUACACGGGCCAACCCGGAGAAUAGAAGUAUCAUCAACACCGGCCUGGGGUGUUAAGUCAAUCGAUUUGAAGGUGUGACUCUUAAGAUUGUAAGAGAAUACUUUUCCACGCGCAUGCAGCAACAGAGAUGAACCUUCCUCUUCAUUUUCCCCUUUAGCAAGAAAGAGAACAACAAAUAUAUGCGUAGGGUAAGCAGUGAAUAAAGGAUCAAGAUCCACAUUGUACUUGACAAACCACCAAGAGUAGUCUCUUCCCAUCUCCAACACUUCAAUUUUAGUAGAACAAGGCCAAUAAAUAUCAAUGAGAUGCAAAUGGCCGUCACUAGUCUCCUUCAAAUAUCUAUGUUCCCUAGUUUCCCAGUUCUUCUCCUCAGAAUAAGGAAAACCAUCAACAAAUCCAACACGAUCUUCUUCUAUGUGGUAGUAUAUGCCAUUUCACAAUCACCGCCCACCCAAUGAACUGCGCCAUUGCAGUAUACCCCACCUUUGUAGGAAAUUUGAUCAAGACAAUGGCGGUGGUGACUCCUCAAACUUACCAUAUCUGUUAAAAGAUUGAUGUAGCCAUGCAUUCAUUCUUGGUCUAUAGAGCUGUUGUUCUAGGGUGUUGGGUGGUCACUUUCUUGCAGAGUUAAAUAGUUAGAGCCAUAUGUGUACGUGUAUAUAUGUAUGCAAAAAGACUCGUUCUAUAACAAUUUUAGGUGUCAUUACAUGAAUUAUUAUAGCUCGCUCUUAGUCUUAUAGUGAUUCUUACAUGCAUCUUUCUGAUAAAUAGGAACGCUUAGCCAUCCCUAUAUACAUAUCAGUUAAUCCCAUCUUCAAACGCAAAGCACAAAUCAUAGUGUUCAAAUUGGAAAUUCUAGUGGCGUGUGGGGAAGAAGCAUUACUGUGUUAAACAAACUUCUAGUAAUUACAUCCGGUUCUUGUAUAUUCUUCCUCCAACUAAAUACCAUUCAUUGUUCUAAUAAUGCUUUGUAUGUGAAGUCAAUGGAGGGCUGCAUCACUUUGUAUGAUAUACAUAAUACAUAAUACUGUACGUCUACCGUUACGUACCAUUACUAAACCUGUUUACAAACAUUCUAUAGUGAUCGACUCAUCAUCAUUCAAUAAGAUCAAAGAAAUCAAUCCCAUUCUCGUUUCUGGGUUAGCAUAAACUGUGCAAGUAGAGUCAUGCAUACAUUCUUGGUCUAAAGCAGAGUCCGAGACUUUAAUCAGUGUCUUAGUAGGUUGUAACCACAUCCUAAACCUAUAGCACUGUUGUUGUAGGGUGUUGGGUGGUCACCUUCUUGUAGAGUUAAGAAUUAGAGCCAUCUGUGUACAUGUAUAUACCAGUUACAUCUAUGCAAAAGGACUCCUUUCACAGCAAUUUUUAGCUUUCAUUACUAUGAAUUAUUAUAUCUUGCUCUUAGUCUUAUUGUUAGUCGACAUUGCUUGCUGGUUUGAAAAUUGACAUGAAAACGACCAAUUAACAAAUCCCCCUCAUUUUAGUUAUAAUAGCAUAUCUUCAAACGCAAAGCACAAAUCCAAGGAGACUUUCAUAUGUGUUGUUCAAAUUCGAAAUUUCUAAUGCGUGUGUGCGGAGAAGCAAUGCGUGUUAAACAAAAGGCUUUUUCUCAUGUAGUAAUUAUAUCCCGAUUCGUGUGAAUUAUCAACAAAUCGAUAUUAAAUUACUGUCGAAACGAUCAAAAUUAGAUAAUUCACGUACAAUUCAAAACGUAGUGAUCAAACAUUACGAUUUUCCUUCCAUUUAUUUUACACAAUAUGGAUGAAUCAAUCCCAGUUAACUAUGUCUGGACAACAUUAUUGUUUCAAGAGGAAAAUAUCGAUCAUGAAUUGAAGGCGGUGCAGUCCGUCCUAAUCUCCCCUUCACUCCCAGUCUUAACGUCGACCCUGCCGAGCUUCCUCAUGGCAGUGAUGAAAGCACCGCUAAACUCACCGGGGCUGUUAGCAAAGUCCACGACAGUCGACUGAGAUGCCGAGUCGGAGAAAAGAACCUCGUCUGAGGUGAACAAGCCCUUCCCGGCAACCAAGUUCUGGUAGUAGACGUUGUCAACGUUCGUGGAGUUUCGAGGGUCCAUGUCGAUGGCUAUCCUGGGGUCCACGUCCUUAGGGCAAGCUGACAUAAGCUGCUUGGCGUAGUCGGGAUCCAACGACGGGUCAACGGCGGAGGAUGACGAGAAUGAGUACAAGCGGUCGGCGAAGCGGUUGCAGUGUGAAAACCCUAGAGUGUGUGCUCCCGAUAAUGCAAUGACGUCGGUUUGGGUGAGGUUGUGUUUCGAAAACAUGGUGUUGAGUUGUUUAAGAUCAAAUGAUGGUUCCGGCAAGUUUCCGGCUACCCUUGAGGCUUUGGAGACUAGUCCAUCUCGACGUCCCAAUUCGACGUUGAAGUCCGGACCUCCACCCUACACAUGUAAACAAUAAUUUCACUUAANNNNNNNNNNNNNNNNNNNNUGGGGUCCACGUCCUUAGGGCAAGCUGACAUAAGCUGCUUGGCGUAGUCGGGAUCCAACGACGGGUCAACGGCGGAGGAUGACGAGAAUGAGUACAAGCGGUCGGCGAAGCGGUUGCAGUGUGAAAACCCUAGAGUGUGUGCUCCCGAUAAUGCAAUGACGUCGGUUUGGGUGAGGUUGUGUUUCGAAAACAUGGUGUUGAGUUGUUUAAGAUCAAAUGAUGGUUCCGGCAAGUUUCCGGCUACCCUUGAGGCUUUGGAGACUAGUCCAUCUCGACGUCCCAAUUCGACGUUGAAGUCCGGACCUCCACCCUACACAUGUAAACAAUAAUUUCACUUAAUUAACUUAAGCAUAGUUUAUUUGAAACAUGCAUUCCAAGAAGAAUGUCAAUGCAAGUUAAUCAAUUUAAAAAAAAAAAAAUGCAAGUUAAUCAAUAAUCAAUGCAAGAAUGUCAAUGCAGUUUAUUAGAAAUGUACCCAAAAAAAAAAAAAAAAAAAAAAAAAGUACUAAGAGGUUGAGGAUGAUCGACUAACAAGAACUACAACAUCGCGGGCAGCAAGAGCCAGAAUAUCAGCACAUGAAACGACGGCAGGGCAUUGCGCUUCGACGGCUUGCUUAGCUUUGAUGACGGUGUCAAAUCCAUCUCCGGCCAACGAAAGAUUAUCCGACGAGUCCUUCUCUGCGUCCCCAUUUGGUGAUGUUAUCAUGACCGAGGCAUCGCAUCCCUAUUCGAAAUUGAUCAACCAAGAAAGGAGAUGAUUGAUUGAUUAACAUGAAUCAUUAUAUAUCAUAUAUGACAUGGAUUUUGAGUUUGAACGUACAUGAACUAUAUAAGAAACUAUAACUAAUAUGUACCUCGACAAAGCAGUCAUGAAAAAAGAGUCGGAGAGUAGCCGGAAUUGUUGUGAAGGUUUGGCUGAAUUUGGUAGAGACUGCCUGCUUCACGAUGGAUUCCACGUUUGGGCAGCUAGAGCUGUAAAAAUUUUCAACUAAUUGUGCUUCUGAUCCUCUUCCCUGCAUAUUAACCAACAUCACAACCACAACCACCAUUAACAGUAACGCUCUGCACAUCUUCAUACUUUACUGAUUACAAGCUCUCUCCUCUUAUUCCUCCCUCGUGGUAAAUUAAAUUUAAGAUUCUUUGUUUCGUGCCCUUAUGCUAAAUAGAUAGUGGUGCUUACAUCUCAUAUAUAUAGAUGAACAUACACAGAAGAAUUCAUAAUGGCGACCUUUCAAAGCCAUAUAUAUUAUUUCUUUUAGGUAAGUUGAUCACGUAUAAGAUGUAGUCAUGCGUACUUGGUCCAGGCGUCCAAGUCCAAGAGUCUGAUCAAUGUUCUAGUAGUAGUAGUAUGUAGUAGGUAGUUACUAGACUUUACCCUAUAGUCUAUAUUUGCCUGUUGUUCUAGCUAGGGUAGUGUUGAACUGUUGAGUACUUGUCAUCAUUAUCAUUCCCGCGGUGUUCAUAUUAUAAAAGGGUUUUGCCAAGCUCCCUAAUCCAUCCGGUGUUUAUCUUGCAACAUAUUGUAUUUCAAAAAUUAUACUCUGAGUGUAAGUGAACCAAACACAUAAUAUGUAAUAUUACACUGUCAUGUAUAUAUGUACGCACGAAAUUAAAACAUGAAAAGCUAGUCUAGCUGUUUCAAACACAUGCAUACAAUGAGGCGCAAAGAUCGAAUAAGUUAUAAGAGUUUACUCUGAUUGGAUAAAAAUGAAAAGGAUGAAGGAAUUGAGAGCUUUCGAUCCCGUCUUGAUAAUUCACAACUUCAAUCGAAUGACUUGAAAAUUGAUGAUGUAAAUGUGCUUUGUAUGAAAAGACAUUUCAGAAAAAAUAUGUUUUGAAAGGAAAAAUAAAGUUUAAAUGAGAUAAUCAUCCAAGACUCCAAGGGUUUUGAUCAAAAAAAAAAGAAAAAAGAAAAAAAAAGCGGAAGGUGUAAUACAUACGACACGUGGAAUUGGGGUUUAAUUUUGAAAACCCAUUUAAGUAUUAGAAGGAGGCAUAACGGUCACCCCUCAAAGCGACUCAAAUUCUCUCUGCGAACCCUAAUUGACUCUGAUCGUUCCAGCUUUCUUGUUUGGAACUUCCGCACCAAAACUUUGGAGAAAGAGUCUGGAUUUUCUACAGCCGAUCCCAACGCCGAAGCGGUCGCUGGGUUUGCCAAAACGGUUGCCGGAGAGGUGCGGAUUGUGUUGGUGGCUAGGAGUGGGCUCUCGUUCUCCACCAGGGUUUAUAGGGCUGAGGAGGAUGAGCGUGGCCGAGAAGAAGAAGAAGGUGGCAAUGGACAACAAGAACCACGCCCGGAUGGCUGGGGAGAAUGGGUCCUUUUUGGUGGUAAUCGACCGUUCAUGCCCUAUCAAGAUCAGCUGGCACGUUUCAGCGUGUCUGCGGGUGUUUCACGUAUAUACUGGGCAGGUUUGAGUUCAGGUAGGAACCAAAUAGUGAGUAUUGAUGUUGAAACCGAAACUGUUCGUCUUGAGGAUCCACCUCUUGACCUCCUCCCAGGUGUAAGGGUGAACAUUGGGCACGGAAUUGCUGGAGAGCUGGCAGCAUCAGUCUUGGAGGAAUCGGGUUUUCUACGUUUUCUGAGAGUGUGGUGUCUCCGAGGUGCGGGAUGGGUCCCUGUUGCCCGGAUUAUAGUGAAUAACGACCCUCCUCAGUCUUACCUCCCUUUGAGCAUCUACAACAGAAGACCAGAUCAGCAGACUUGUUAUGUUUUCUUGAAGAACACAUCGAGUAUUGUGAGGAUCACUCCUCCUCCUCCUGCAGAGGAGGAGUUGUUCGUGGCACAGACAACAGUCUUCACUUCCACCCUUCCACAGGGGCGAUAUCACCCCGAGAAUUGGGAAUGGUCAAAGAACAGGACUGCUGAAGAGGAGGAAGAGACCCACAGGCAUAAACGAAGGAGGAUUGUUAAGGGUCGCCUCGGUUUUGAUACUAGCGAGUUGUAGUGUGAUAACAGGAAAGCAGAUCUUCACAAGUAGCACCAGAUACGACUGAGGUACAAAUAUGAUUCGAAAAACUUGGAAGCGCCUUUCUUCUUACAAGUUUGUAUAUUCUGUGUAUCUUUCACAUCUAGAAUAAAUAGAGUUGAUUUCAAAAGCCAUGUCUCAGAUUGUAUGCUUUUGGCUUACACUACUAGAAGUUAGGACUUAUGUGACGAAAUGGUUUCGUCGCUUAAGAGUGAAAUUUCGUCGCAUAAGUACUUAAGCGACGAAAAUUUCGUCGCUUAAGAGUCGUCGCAUAGGUGGUGUCGCAUAGGUAUCUAAGCGACGAAACAUGUAUUUUCGUCGCUUAGGUUCCUCUUAAGCGACGAAUUACGUUUCGUCGCUAAACUACUUAAGCGACGAACAAAUAUUUCGUCGCAUAAGUGCCUCCUAAGCGACGAAAAAAAAUUCGUCGCAUAGACUUAUGCGACGAACAUUUCUAACUUAAGCGACGAAAUAUUUCGUCACUUAAGUGUUUUCAAUAUAUAAAAAAAAUUAAUUAAUUUAAUUUAAUUUCAUUUUUUGCAGUUUUUAUUUUAUUUUGUUUUUUAGUUUUAUUUUGUUUUUUNNNNNNNNNNNNNNNNNNNNAUGGAAAUACAACAAUCCAUACACAAGUUAUACAACUUUUCCGACACAAAACUAGCAGUUCUUUAAGCAGCAGAAACAAAUAAAAUAAAUAAAAACAAAAACAGAAUCCGUCACACACAAGCCAAGGACUCCAUAUAUCGAUAAUUACUACGCUGACCAACACCGGCUUGAGGUGUUAAGUCGAAAGAUUUGAAGGUGUUACUCUUAACAUUGUAAGAGAAGACUUUUCCAGGAGCAUGCAGCAACAGAGAUGAACUUUCCUCUUCAUUUUCCCCUUUAGCAAGAAAGAGAACACAAAACACCUUAAAGCGUGGGUAAGCGGUGCAUAAAAGAUCAAGAUCCACAUUGUACUUGACAAACCACCCAGAGUAGUCUCUUCCCAUCUCCAACACUUCAAAUUUAGUAAAACAAGGCGAAUAAAUAUCAAUAAGAUGCAAAUGGCUGUCACUAGACUCCUUAAAGUAUCUAUACUCCCUAGUUUCCCAGUUCUCCUCACAACGAGGAAGACCAUCAACCAAUCCAACACGCUCUUCAUCUAAGUGAUAAUAUGCCAUCUCACAAAUCCGGCCAACCCAGUGAACUGCACCGUUGCAGUAUACCCCAUCUUGGUAGGAAAUUUGACCUUGAGUUUCAAAAGAAGAAUUGACAAGACUCCAACUUUUAGUCUCAGAAGAAUAUAUCUCUAUGUUAUGGUAACUGCACCAGCCGCAUGGAGUUGGUUCAUCACGGAACCAAAGGAAGACCACCUUGUAAUGAGGUGAUUUGGAAGGGUCAAAAGCCAAAGCACAGCCGAAGAUUCGGGGUUCAGUAGUAGUGGCGGCGGCAGCAGCUGGAGGAACAAGUUUGGUGAACUGGUUGGUUGUGGGAUUGAGAACAUAAUGAUAAAGAGGUGUAAUAACUCGCCGCACGUCCGACCUGUGGAUAACAGAGUUCAGUACAAUUUCAGGAUGGCACAAGAAGAGGCCGUUGCAGGACUGGAUAAUCUUGAUGUUGUCAUGACAUACGUUCGCAAUGAAUUUCAGAGGGUUGCAGCUGGGUGAACCAGACCCUGUACUAGUAGUGCGAUCAUGAUCCAAAUCAAGAGGGAUAAAGCUAAUGUAUCUGGUGAGAUUGCAAAAGACCGCGGAAGCGGAAGGGUUCGGGUUCCGAAGGGUGUGAAGGUGACAGAACUUGGGGUCAGAGAUAAAAGAGAGCCAAUUCUUGGAGACACAUUUGAAGCGGAGCAGAAUUUGAGCUGGAACACGGACAAGGAUUUCCGAAAAGAUAUCAUCAUAGUCCCAUAUGGUUUCUGGUAAGCUGCUGCUGCUGCAGCGUUUUAGUCUCUUCAUCAUAUUGAUUUCUAUCUCAAAGGAUCUAAUUUCGCUUUAUAAGACCUGGACUCUCCUAAGUAAAAAAGGACAGAAAUCCCAGCCCAAACAGAAGACAAAAACCAACUCAAAUUGAAGGACACACAUAAGUUGAAAAGAAAAGAAAAAAAAAAAGGACAAACUUAACUUAAAUUCAAGGAUACUUGUGGAUACGUUAAAAAGGGAGGACAUUGAAUCAAUAGAAGACCAUAAGUUAACAUGCUGGGUUUUCUAAAUGGGAG
Molecule: long non-coding RNA, 10746 nt
Filed under: Fragaria vesca (wild strawberry)
Lineage: Eukaryota; Viridiplantae; Streptophyta; Magnoliopsida; Rosales; Rosaceae
Description: long non-coding RNA (FVES_LNC003245)
Source: RNAcentral